This is a long non-coding RNA of Saccostrea cuccullata (small rock oyster), 363 nucleotides long. RefSeq lists it as uncharacterized. The transcript has 3 exons. NCBI's taxonomy places the organism in Eukaryota, Metazoa, Mollusca, Bivalvia, Ostreida, Ostreidae. The record is from RefSeq and is a predicted model, not a curated record.
UACUUAUCAUACUUAAGCCUCUUGUGCAUAUGCGACAUUUCCAAUUAAACCAGUUUAAAAAAUAUUUAAAAACUUCUCCGCCGAAUCGUAGGAUUCGUAGGUCUGGUGAACUUUAUAUGAAUAUCAUGCAUUUCUAUACGAUUGUCAUUUUCCUCUGUACGUGUCUCCUCUCUGUCCAUUGCAAUAGUUGGUGGAUGUGGGGCAAAAAAGGAACUGACAAUUCUCGUCCAAGGAGAGUCUCCAAAUCACUUGCAACAUACAUCCAUAGAAGUAUAACGAUCACGGAGGGAGAUCCGGCCAUUCUACCAUGUGAAGCACACGACGAGGGAAAUAAAUACCGGGUAAGUUCACUUUGGUUACUUA